UUGUAUAUGGAGUUAUAUAUGAUUUCCGAGAACUUGAAAGCCUUAGGAAUGAUUUCCUACAUAAUACGAACCAUCCAAUAUCAAAUUCAAGCUCAUAUCCUAUAUAAUUCCUCAUUUAGACAUUUAAGCAAACAACUUGCAGGCAUGAAUUUGUAGACCAUUUUGUAGUUUAAUUUCACCCCACACACCACCAAUUUUACUUUACUACAUCUCCUCAUCGACAUGAUUCCAACCAUAUCUUCAUUGAUUCAAUCAACACCAUGAAACUAUAUAAAACAGCCCAAACAACCAAGUCCUACUAAGAGGAGUUUCUUAAUAAAAUCAUGAAUAUUUCUAUAGAGAUUUCAACUAUUUCUUAAUAAUUCUUAUGGUAGAUGUUUACAAAGAUCAAAGAGAAAGUUAAAUCAUACCUUAUGUGACCAGAAUUUCUCCAAAUUCGAAAUUACUUCAAGGCAGAGUCUUGCUAUGAAAAGUGAAACACCGAAGAAUUCACAAAUCCGAAGUUGCCAUGGUUUUCUCCAUCUUGAGGAUGACUAAAUUGUUGUUAUGAUUGGAUAGAUGGAUGAGAGGAGUUUGAGAGGAAAUACCCAGGUUUUUGGUUCUGUUUUGG
This 610-nucleotide long non-coding RNA is filed under the name Nicotiana benthamiana. Its description in RNAcentral is "long non-coding RNA (NBEN_LNC035360)". Lineage: Eukaryota; Viridiplantae; Streptophyta; Magnoliopsida; Solanales; Solanaceae. The record is from RNAcentral.